RNAcentral lists this long non-coding RNA (256 nucleotides) under Bos taurus (domestic cattle). RNAcentral describes it as "long non-coding RNA NONBTAT000918". The record is from RNAcentral. Lineage: Eukaryota; Metazoa; Chordata; Mammalia; Artiodactyla; Bovidae.
CAUAAUACAGAAUAAACAAGUUUAUUUUAAAAUUCUGUAAUUUCAAUUUUGAGACAGUUAAGAGGAGGAUUUGUUUUAAAUACAUGUUUUUCACAUUUUUGGAAACAUUAUAAAAUGUUGUAUUUUUCAUACCCCACACCCUUUUAUAUCAGGACAUUCCCCCUUUCUUCUUCCCCUCAGAAAAUUCUGUAAGAUUAAGGGUCAUAUAAGGGCUCUUCGCCCUGAAGCCCAUGAGAGAAAAAGAACCCCAUAAACC